Molecule: ribosomal RNA, 460 nt
Filed under: uncultured bacterium
Lineage: Bacteria
Description: partial 16S ribosomal RNA
Rfam family: Bacterial small subunit ribosomal RNA
Source: RNAcentral
CCUACGGGAGGCAGCAGUGAGGAAUAUUGGUCAAUGGACGAGAGUCUGAACCAGCCAAGUAGCGUGAAGGAUGACUGCCCUAUGGGUUGUAAACUUCUUUUAUAUGGGAAUAAAACAGGGUAUGCAUACCCUCUUGUAUGUACCAUAUGAAUAAGGAUCGGCUAACUCCGUGCCAGCAGCCGCGGUAAUACGGAGGAUCCGAGCGUUAUCCGGAUUUAUUGGGUUUAAAGGGAGCGUAGGUGGAUUGUUAAGUCAGUUGUGAAAGUUUGCGGCUCAACCGUAAAAUUGCAGUUGAAACUGGCAGUCUUGAGUACAGUAGAGGUGGGCGGAAUUCGUGGUGUAGCGGUGAAAGGCUUAGAUAUCACGAAGAACUCCGAGUGCGAAGGCAGCUCACUGGACUGCAACUGACACUGAUGCUCGAAAGUGUGGGUAUCAAACAGGAUUAGAUACCCCGGUAGUC